RNAcentral lists this transfer RNA (58 nucleotides) under Mesocricetus auratus (golden hamster). It matches the Rfam family "tRNA", at positions 8 to 63 of the family's 71-position model. Rfam says of the family: Transfer RNA (tRNA) molecules are approximately 80 nucleotides in length. Their secondary structure includes four short double-helical elements and three loops (D, anti-codon, and T loops). Lineage: Eukaryota; Metazoa; Chordata; Mammalia; Rodentia; Cricetidae. RNAcentral also lists the same sequence under 1 other name. The record is from Rfam by way of RNAcentral.
UGGCUCAGAGGUUAAGAGCACUGGUUGCUCUUCCAGAGGACCUGGGUUCAAUUCCCAG